This 497-nucleotide ribosomal RNA is filed under the name uncultured bacterium. RNAcentral describes it as "partial 16S ribosomal RNA". It matches the Rfam family "Bacterial small subunit ribosomal RNA", at positions 28 to 507 of the family's 1533-position model. The record is from RNAcentral.
GAUGAACGCUGGCGGCGUGCCUAAUACAUGCAAGUCGAGCGAACAGACGAGGAGCUUGCUCCUCUGACGUUAGCGGCGGACGGGUGAGUAACACGUGGAUAACCUACCUAUAAGACUGGGAUAACUUCGGGAAACCGGAGCUAAUACCGGAUAAUAUAUUGAACCGCAUGGUUCAAUAGUGAAAGACGGUUUUGCUGUCACUUAUAGAUGGAUCCGCGCCGCAUUAGCUAGUUGGUAAGGUAACGGCUUACCAAGGCAACGAUGCGUAGCCGACCUGAGAGGGUGAUCGGCCACACUGGAACUGAGACACGGUCCAGACUCCUACGGGAGGCAGCAGUAGGGAAUCUUCCGCAAUGGGCGAAAGCCUGACGGAGGACCGCCGCGUGAGUGAUGAAGGUCUUCGGAUCGUAAAACUCUGUUAUUAGGGAAGAACAAAUGUGUAAGUAACUAUGCACGUCUUGACGGUACCUAAUCAGAAAGCCACGGCUAACUACGUG